This 16361-nucleotide long non-coding RNA is filed under the name Homo sapiens (human). RNAcentral's name for it is "HSALNT0381737". Lineage: Eukaryota; Metazoa; Chordata; Mammalia; Primates; Hominidae. The record is from RNAcentral.
GCAGAGUCCGGCUGUGUUCCGAAGUGACUUUCCUAGUCACGCCGCUUCCCCGGCCCCGGGAAGGGUGGGGCGCCGAGCAGGGCACCCCGGGCCGUCCGCGGCGUUUCCUGCGGUGGGCGGAGGAUACUGAACCUAUGUGGUGCGGACUACUCGGUGGCUUCGUGGUAAAAAUCCGGCCGCUCCGCAAAGUGUAAAGAAGAACUUUAAAACCUCUCGGGCAGACAGGCACCGUGGCCCUCAUUUUAUACACGAAGAAACAAGCUGGGGAGGCCAAGGGCCUGGCCCCGGGGGAGGCGGGCAGCGGGUUUCAUGGGUGCCAGGGCAGUCCCGCCCGACUUAGCGUUAGGCUCCUUGCGGCAGGUGCGAUCCGUAGCCCUUUCUAGGUUCUGAACACGUGGCGUUAGCCAGCCACCUAGAUGCUGCGUGGGUGGGCCCGCAGGGGCGCCCAUGAACCCACGUUCAAAUCCUGUCACUGUGACUCACCAUCUGCGUUACCUCCAGCACAUCGUAGGACUUUCAAGCCAGGAAGUUCAAGUGAGAUAAACGUAGCCUGGGAUUGCUGGGCAAGCUAAACUCCCCAUUACCAGGCGAUAAGAAGGGAAGGGAUCUAGCAUUUGUUAGAUACCUAAGGUCUCCCAGCCAGGCACUUCCCAUACCGCAUUUAAGCCUCGCAACACCCUACCAGCUGUUACCAUCCCCUUUUUACCGCAGGGGGAAACCGAGUCUGUAACUUGUUGAUCUGUAUGGAGAUUGGAUCCCUGACCCUCUGACCUCUUUUUAGUGAGGGAUUAGAGAAGAGGGCAAGCCUCAAGGGGCCGCUUGGGCCGGCAUACCCUGGAUCGAGCCUGCGAUCUCACUGGGGCACUUGAGGACGUCCGGGGCUAUUACAAAUAUUGCUUCCAAGUUGGGGCUCCUUGUAAAACCCGGCGAAGGAGCCUCGGGGCCAGAAGGCGAGCAGGAGGAGGGGGAAGACUGAUGUGGCAAUCCUGCGGCCAGAGCGAGAGGAGGAAGGAAGGUCAGGAAAUGAUUAACCGGGCCGGGCAGUGGUUAGAGCCGGGCACCUCCCCGCAAUGCAGUCCUAGAGCAGCCAGGGACGCCCCGUCAAUCACUUCUUACUCCUCCCUACCUCCCACGCCACAAGUCGGCCUCUUCCGCAUAGACCUCUGCCUAAUGGUAUCCACCCACCGGGGGCACCUCUGCUCAUCCUUUCCCCAGAAGUAUUUCUGGGUCCUCAAAGAUCUGUCCUUUUCCAAGUGGUAUUUGCUGUUAGAGCAAGCCUCGGCCUGGGAUUUUUAUGGCAGUGAUGCGUUGUGGAAAGUGCGUCUGCCUAGGAAGGCAGGCCGGCAUGCUUUCAAAUCUUAGCUCUGCUGCCUACUUGACGGCCAGGCUUAGCAAGCGUCUCUAGCCGUUCCAAGCCUUUUCUAGAUCUGUAAAACUGGAAGAAGAAUACUUGUCUCGCAAGGAACAUGUGAGAAUUCAUGAAAAUUGCCACCACAUACUAGGUGGCCAAUAAAUUAUAACUUUGUAUUUGUUUUUACUGACACUAGAUGAGAGCUGCUUCCCUGGGAAGCGGGAGGAGGAGAAACAAUAAUAUCUGCCCUUGGCUCAAGUUCUUCCACCCAUCUCUCCAUGUCAACCUAUUUGUCUUUAAGGCCUUGCUCCACCAACCUUCUGUUUCCUCCGGACACCCACCCCCACUUAGCAUCCAUAACCCCUUGUUCGGCCCUGGAGCAUGACCUCACUCAGGCCAUGCUUCAUACUGGUAUGUAAUAUUUCUUCACCCUCUCAGAGACUCCGUUUCCUAAUCCCCUAGACUUCAGUUUAAACAUCACUUCCUGAGGGAGUCUUUCCCGACCCUUUCCCACCCGCAGGGUACCUCCCAGUGUGUGAUGUCCUUGUCUGCCCCAACACCGGCUUUUAAAAACACUUAAAACAAAAAACAAAACAAAAAAAAAAACAGUGUCUCCUAUAUUGCCCAGGCUGGUCUCGAAAUCCUGGGCUCAAGAGAUCCUCCCGCCUAGGCCUCCCAAAGUGCUAGGAUUACGGGCAUGAGUCACCGCGCCCGGCCUAAAAACACUCUUCAUGCGUGUAAUUAUUUGUUUAAUGUCUCUCUUCCUCUUGUUUGUCCAUAAGGUAGCAAACAAGUCUGUCUGGUUUUCUGCUUUAUUUCUAACAUGCAAUGUAGAACAUGGAGGAUGUCUGAUAAGUAAGUGAAUACAUGACAUGAACGGGUGAGUGUGCGGUAUGUUAGCCAUGUCUACCAUGGGCAAGAGCCUAGCAGGUGGCCCAAUAUUUGCCAAUAUUUGACCCCUAGAGAUGAUCUCUAAAUUUCCUUUCAGUUCUAGCUUUAUGAUUUUAACGGAAUCAGGAAUGUGAAAGUGCUUUGUAAGGUGUAAGCUAUUUUAAGGGAAAAAAAAGUUUCCAUUAGUGACUUCUCUCCCCAGCUAGAAUAAAAACCCUUGGGAGCAGGGGCCCUAAUUUAGUCCCGAUUGUGAUAGUCCCCAGAGGGCAAGCUCUAUCAGGCAGUCCAGAGAAGUUGGGCAAAAUCAGAGAGGCCCUCCUGGGGCGUUUGCUAGAUUUCCCUAAAAUAGUGAACUUUCCUGUGUCUUUGAAAGUUUCCAUAAUAAGAAAAGAGUGGAGAAAAAGAAACCCGCAGUGAGUAAAUGAGUCAAAUGGGGGAAGACCAUGAGGCACACUGGGAAAUCUGCCUUUUCAGUCCCUCGUUUCUUCAGCUGCAUUUAAUACAACAUUCGCGUUUUUAUUCUUGGCCCGCAUCCCUCUGGCACUGAGGAGCUCUGACUUACAUCCCAGGGAGCCCUGAUGGUGACGAGCCAGCCUCCAGCCUCCAGCUCCCGUGCUCUUGAGUGCGCUGCUCCCGGGAUUCCCCACCCAGCCCUCUGGACAUCCGGGGGCGGGGAGGGAGGGUGGUUUCCGCGGCAAAACCUGCCCGAAGCGGCGGGCCUGUUCUAAAAGUUUGCAUUUUUCAAAGGGGAGGAAUGCAAAAUUGCAACCGUACUAUCAAAUGUUUCUCUCCUAAAGGAUAAUUGUGUAUAUACAUGGAAGUGGGGUCGGUAGUGAGGGGAGGGCAAGGUCAUAUAUUGCAGGGGAACCACUUCAGGAAAGGUCUCAAGGUUGCCGCGAUUUUCCUAAAACCUUAAACUUAGGACUUUUGGCAGAAUUGAUGGUCCUUAACCAACAAUUACAAGGCAGACCAGGCCCUGGGGAAAACUAGCUCUGACUAUCCUCACCCAGGGAAGGCUCAUUGGAAACACUCCGAGAGAUGGCUUAAUUAUUAAUAUUUACCAUAGAGAUUGUUCUAGGAGCAACGCCUCCUUGGGAAACCAAAGUUAUAUCAAGAGGAGGCUUGGUAAGUGUUGGGGGCAGGGAAUGGGCCGCUGCCGCUCAGAGACUCUUCUGUUGCCUGGUUUAAUUUUCCUAGUGGCACCUAUCUAAUAUUUCCUUGCAUGUUUACUUGCUUAUCUAUUGUCAGUCUCCAUGAGAACAAAGAUCUUGCCAGUGCUGUUGGUUGCCUGAUUUCCAGCCCCUGGAAUACAGCCUGGUAGGUGGCAGGCCCUCAGUAACUAUUUGUUGAAUGACUAAAUAAAUGGAGAGGGGUGGGUGUGGGCUCCAACCACCCAGCUCUCACUUCCCCACUCAGGAAUACUGGUGGUGUCAUUCUCCCCACUACUUCCCAUUUACCCCUUUCACAUCAUCUCCCUGCUGGAAUUCUUCAGUGGUUCCCCACCUUUUGGAAAAAAUCCAAAACCCACUGCUCUCACAGGUACCUGGCCCCUCCCUUUUAUUAUAACUUUUUUUUUUUUAACUGUUACAGAAGUAUUUCAAAUAGUCCCCUCAUAGAAAUUGUGCUUCCUCAUACCUCCGUGUCCUCCCCUGUCUGGUCCCCUUCUACUUGGUCUGCUCCUACUCCUUCCCCAUGAAGCACAUAGCCUCUUCCGGGAAGCCCUCCGUCACUCACCCAAGCACACUUCUCACAUGGUGCUGUUAUUUUCUGUUCACAUUUCAGUCUGUCUUGGGAAUAGGUGUUUUGUUUUUUUUUUUUCAUCUGAGGAUUUUCAGCACCUAGUUCAGCAAUAGCAGAUCUUAAAAAAUUUGUCCACUGAAUGUUGUUGGAAGUGCUCCUUUUUAAAGUGAUUACAGCAAUAAUUAUAUGAUAUGGUCCCCUAAGUAUUCAGAGAAAGGACCUCAACUAUUUGAGAACGGAAACUUACAUGUUAUUGGGUCCCAACUAGGUGUCUGAUACUGUGGCAACUUGUUGGGACCCAAUAAAUACUAUGGUUUUUAUUUCUUCUUUAAUCCUUCCCCCCUACCAAUGCAAAAACAAAAAAACAAAAACAAAAACAAAACCUUGGAGGUGGAUAUUAUCAUCUCCAUUUUACUGGUGAGAGAACUAAAGUUCAAAGAAUGUUAAAUAAUUGCACAAAUUUACACAAUCAGUAACUGGUCUUUUAUCAAAAGAGGUAAGGUUUCACCCCUCAUGCACAUGGUCAUGUCAAUGAUUUUGCAGUAUUACACAGGAGAAGCCAAAGUUCCGAAUAAUGGAGUCAUUUAGUGACCACAGGACACAGACAAGCCUCUGAGUAACUGAAGAAAGAUUUAUGUUCGGUGCCAUUGUUGUAAUUACCGCAUCAUCAACAUAUUGACUUAUACUGCUUUUAACGCUUUCCUCUUUAUCAUUGAAAUCUCCUUUUAUGAAGGAGAUGAGGGGGUUUUCUUGUUUAAAGACCCACUUUGCAGAUAAAGCACUGACAGAUUAAGCAAAACAGUGUGGCUCUAGCACCAAACAACUUUUAUUUAUUUAUUUAUUUAUUUAUUUUGAGACACGGUCUCUUUCGUCCUGGCUGGAGCAGGAUCGCAGCUCACUGCAGCCUUGAACUCCUGGGCUCAAGCUAUCCUCCUGCCUCAGCCUCCCAAGAAGCUGGAACCACAGACAUGUGCCACCACACCUGGCUAAUUAAAAAAAAAAAUUUGUAGAGAGAGGGUCUCACUAUGUUGCCCAGGUCUCCAGUGGCUCCAGCCUCAGCCUCCUGAGUUGCUGGGAUUACAAGCGUGAGCCACCUUGCCCGGCCCCAAACAACUCUUUGAUAGUAGAUAAGUCACUUCUCUCUGGGCCCCAAUCUUUCUUUCCAUCUGUAAAAUCGGGGGUUGAACUAAAUGACCAUUGAGGGCCUUUCCAGAGAGAGAAUCCAGCAAUCCGGUGAUAGUUCACAGUCAUCCAGUGACACCAGCAGAGGCAACACUGCUUUGUGUGCUGUGGAAGAGACUGCUGUUUACACCAAAUGUGCUUUCUUUUCCUCUUGGUUUCACAACUCGAAAUUUCUCGGCUUCCCUUGUAGCUAGGUGUGGCCAUUUUAGCCAACGCUGUCUGAGCAGAAAUCACAAGAAAGCCUUGGCUGGGGCUGGGCGCAGUGGCUCACGCCUGUAAUCUCAGCACUUUGGGAGGCCGAGACGGGCAGAUCACAAAGUCAGGAGAUGGAGACCAUCCUGGCCAACAUGGUGAAACCCCAUCUCUAAUAAAAAUACAAAAAUUAGCUGAGUGUGGUGGCGUGCGCCUGUAAUCCUAGCUACUCGGGAGGCUAAGGCAGCAGAACAACAUGAACCCAAGAGGUGGAGGUUGCAGUGAGCCGAGAUUGCGCCACUGCACUCCAGCCUGGGUGACAGAGUGAGACUCCAUCUAAAAAAAAAAAAAAAAAAAAAGGAAAGCCUUGGCUAGGGCUGUGAACAGCUGCCCAUGACAAAAAUACUUCAGUGUCCAGUUUUGUUUAUCAAUAACACAUGAAGGAAAUAGGAGAAAUACAUUAGGCCAGGCCUAGAAUGAAACAGGUCUUCUAGGCUUGUAGUCUGCCCUUCUUGUGUUCUGUCUUCGAACAUUCAUUUAUUCGGCACAUCUUGUCUGUGCCCUACCACGUGCCAGGCACUGAAGAUUCAGCAGCUCAGGGCUACACGGGUCUUCCAUUCUGUUGACAUCUCUUUGCCACUACCAAGAUGGAAAAUGUUGUGGUAUCACUUAUUUCCCCUUGCUCAUUAGUUGCCUGAUUAGACAUCAGAACCUCUGAGUUUCAGUCAAAGGGCUGUCUAGACUCGGAGCUUUAAGCCUUUUAAUUGUGAAAAUGACAUCACCAGUAAAGGGCCUGGCCUGGUGCUUGGCACACAGUAGACCGUCCAUAAAUGUCUGUUUUUUUGAGACCUUGGCAAAGAGGAGGAUUGAUGUGGGAGGUGGCGCAGAAGGUUAGAUUUUUGUCAUUUUAGAGAGAUCUGAGCUAGAUCAUUCAUUCAACAAAUAUCACUGUUGCACUAGGCUUUGAGAUAGAAGAGUGUGCAACGCACAGAUUAAGCCUCAAAGGGAUGAGGCAAGGUAUAAGAGAAACAGACUAGCAAACAGGCAAUUGCAACACAGUGUGAUAAGUGCUAGAAGGGGAAGUACAGGAUGUUUCUUAGCCACAAACAAGGGGCAACUAACCCAGGCUGGUGAGUGGGGGUGGGGGAAGCAUCAAGCAAGGCUUCCUGGAGGAAGUAGCAUAUGACCUGAGACUUGACGGAGACCUAGGCAUUAGGAAGGUAAAGUAUGGGGAAGGAGUGGGGAAGGGUGCAUAGUGUCCCAGGCACACGGAACAGUAUCUACAAAAGCUCAAAGGGGCUCAGAGAGGAUUGAAACUGAUAGUCUGGCUGGAGAGUCAUGUACAAGGGGAUGGAAGGCUGAGAGAUGAGGCUGGCAAGGUAAGAUGAUGAAGGGCUGCUAAAGGGUUGUCACAGAGAACUGUGAGUAGAGGAUUCUGGAUCCCAGGACCCUGGCAUCUUUCAGGGUUGCAUUUUUUCAGGUCCUGGGAGAGGGGAUAAGGGGGCAAAGAUACAGAAAGAAAGGGGAGACAGAGUAAAGAAACAAACUAACAAUUACUAAAAAUCUAUAAGAUGUUCAUAGCCUGGGCAACAUGGCAAAACCCAUCUCUACAAAAAAUACAAAAAUUCGUCAGGUGUGGUGGUGCACGCCUGUAGUCCCAGCUACUUGGGAGGCUGAGGUGGGAGGAUCGCUUGAGCCCAGGAGGUUGAGGCUGCAGUGAGCUGUGAUCGUACUGCUGCACUCCAGCCUGGGCGACAGAGCAAGGCUCUGUCUUAAAAAAAAAAAAAAUUUUACUGUAUUAGUCAUCUGAGAAAUGCAAAUAAAAACCACAGUGCCUACCUAGCUAGAAACAAAUAGACAGGGGUUAGAAUGGAGAUGUGACUCUCAGCCUCACGCAUACCUUAUCGUUACCAGAUCUCUCCCAGACUAUGUCCCAGAGGAGUUUACAACCCACUGAGAAGGAGAGACUCAUAGACUUUAAGAAGUGAAUUGUGAUGGGAAGAAGAAUCCAAGGCUUAGGGAACCUCCACCUCUGUCUUCCCCUCUUCCUUCCUAACCCUAAUCUGCAGUGUCCAUUCUUCUAUCCAGAAUAUUCAGCUGACCAGAAAAUGAAUUUCCCAAACAUCCAGAACAUAGAUUUUCAUAGUCCCAGACCUUUCCAUGAGGUGCUUGAUGCAUUGGAAAAAAGUGGGGCUUUGAGUCAAAUAUCAAGCAGGCUGGAGUCCUGCUUCUACCACUGAUCUUGGGCCAGCAGCCUGACCUCUUCUGAGCCUCCAUCUCUGAAAUGGGAAUAACAUUAGCUGCUUCCAAAAUGGUGACAUCCCUACUUUAUAUCCCUCAGCCAGAUACUUAAUGUUUGGAAAGAGAGAGCAAGGAUUUCUAUGUUAUGAUCAGCACCACGUUCUGAAGUUGCUUUUGUGCAUUUAUGUAAUCACACCACAGGUUAUAAGCAUAUUUUAUAAUUAAGUCAUUGAGAAAGCUCUGUGCUGACCCCAUUAUAAAUAUUUUCUGGCAGCAAUAGCAGGGGAAAAUAUAUUUAUAUUUAACAUUACUACUGUCCAAAGAACAACGGUGAGAAAGUAAGGAAAGGGGCUUAGAGCUCUUUGGCCUUUCUCAGUUACCUGUGGGACAGCUGGGGUCUUCUGGCUAGAAAUGGAGCCCAGAAGCAGCAAGGCUUCAUGGAAAAUUAUGCUUCCUAAGAGCCCCUGGGGCAGAGCAAUUACAGAACUGGAAGGGUCGGGAGUUUCGUAGAGGAGGAAGCUGAUCCCAGAUCCAGCAUCACAGAGUCCUCUGGUCAGCUCCUGACACCAUAAUGCUCCUUGCUUGCCAGGUUCUGUGCAAAGCAAGCUACAGAAGAGGUUUUGGGGCACUGAACUGGCCUUUUUCCAGUGUGCAAACCAUGCAAGCUGAUUUUACUAGGGGAAAAGAUGGCUGCAGAGGGAAAAGCACCAAAUGCAGCAGUCAAUACAGUAGUUCCCUCCAUCAGUAACCUCCAGACUCACGCCCAGGAGCCCUCUGAAGGCAGCGGUAGCACCAGGAUAGAGUGCCUGGUACAGAUGAGGCACUCAGGGAAUUACAUUAAUCUGGAAAAUAAAUGUGCAUUAGCAGUGAAAAGCUUACUCUAAAGCUGGCUCUGCAAGGAACUGGGAACAGCUGUUGGCCUGGGGGUGGGGAGGCUGGGAGAAGAGAGAGAGGGGGAAAAUUACUUUUUCACUAUACACCAUAUUAUUCUUUUUGAAUUUUGUACCAUUGGUUAUCACAAGGUAAGUAAUAUUUUUAAAAAUUUAAAGCCUAAUGUUAUUCCCCAAUCAGGGAAAUUUGCAGGAUAAUGGGAGGGAGAAAGUGGGUCUUUAGAGUCAAACUAACUUGAGUUUUCACUCCAGCUAAUCCUACUACUUCCUAGCUGUGUGUCUGAAAACAAGUUACUUAGCUUUUCAGAGCCUCAUACUACUUAACUAUGUUGGGGAGAAUGAGCAUCCGCUGCAUUGUGAUGUAGGUGAAAGUGAUAACAGCAACACUUAGGAGAUUCACUAUGUGCCAGGCACUCUUCUGAAUGCUUUCUGGCUGUGUGUGGACUCAUCCUCAGGACAACACUGCAAGAGGGAUAUUAUUCUUUUAUUCCUCCCCAUUUUACAUAUGAGGAAACUGAGCCAUAGAGAGACUGAAGAACUUGCUUUAGUUCUUUAGUUCUUUAGGCAGGCUGUUUACCUCCCAAGCCCAGCUCUUCCUACCUCUACUCUGCUGCCUUGAACUGUUAGCAUCCUCUUCCUUUCAAUCAGGAAUUCUUAGAAAUGCAGACAUUUUCAACAUCCAAAGAAAUGUCUUUCUCAUAAUGGGCUGUUGGAUAUGGUCACAGGCUAGUGAGGGCAGUGCUGGUUAGGGAAUUAGCAAAGCAGGUGAGAGAGAGAGAAAGAGAAAGAACUCUAUUGAAGUUAAGAAUUUUGCAAUCAGAGGAUGUGAUUUAAUUGUAGCAUAGCACAAUCAUAGCUCGCUGUAACCUUCAACUCCUGGGCUCAAGCAGUACUCCUGCCUCAACCUCCCGAGUAGCUGGGACUACAGAUGUAUGCUACUACACCUGCCCAGUUUUUUAAACAAAAAUACUUUUUUUUGCUAUUUUACCCAGGAUGGUCACAAACUCCUGGACUCAAGUGAUCCCCCUGCCCUGGCUUCCCAAAGUGCUGGGAUUACAGGUGUGAGCCACUGCACCAGCCUAUUUUUAUUUUAAAAUGUUUAAUUAUAUAUUAGAGGAGGAUUCCAUAAGGUCUUCAGGACUUAGGGCCUACAAAAACAUUAAAAGGGUGGAGCAAACUUUUAGUCAGGGUUGCCUCCUCCAUCCCCCUCAAAUGGGUCCUGGGUUGAGUCACCUUCUGCUUAUGUUGCUGACUCUGUGGUCACCCAUAGUAGGUCUUUCUGUGAUUAACAUCCUGAUACUAACUUGUCUGUGGUCAUUUACCUAUUCUACUUCGAAGAUUGAAUCAAAAAACAAUCGCAGGGCCAGGCGCUGUGGCUUACGUCUGUAACCCCAGCAUUUUGGGAGGUCAGGGCAGGAGGAUUACUUGAGCCCAAGAAUUUGAGAUGAGCCUGGGCAACAUAGUGAGUUCCUGUCUCUACAAAAAAUUUUUAAAAAUUAGCUGGGCGUGGUGAUGCAUGUAUGUAGUCCCAGUUACUUGGGAGGCUGAAGCACGAGAAUCUCUGGAGCCCAGGAUUUUGAGGCACUCCAGCCUGGGCAACAGCAAGAUGUCGUCUCAAAAAAAAAAAAAAAAAAAAAAAAAUCCCAGUGACUUGAAUGUUCCAGGCAGUUGGUUUCUCAAGUUCAUUGAGUUUUUACUGCACUUGGAAAAAAAGGUUUUUUUCUGCAUUUCUUUAAAAGAGUUUCAAAGUAAGUAAUGAGCCUGAAUGGGCAAGGGGUAAGGACACUUAUUUUCCUUUGGCUGAAUUGAAGGUUCUUCCUCCCCAUGUCCCAGAAUGGUUCAUUUCCUUCCAAUUUCCCCUGUGCGUGCUCACUACCCCUCCUACUCUAAGACCCUCAGUGUUUCCUUUAGGUCUUUCCUUGCGCCUCAGAAUUAGGCCACUUGCCCUUCUGAGCCCCUCCACAGGCCUUGGAGGGGCCUUAGGCUCGGCCUAUGCUCAGAGCACUCCCAACGCUGGGACCAUCCCUCCUCUUCCUGCCCCCUGAAGUGUCCAGCCUGGCAGUGGACCUUGGCCAAAGAAGAGAUGAACCAUGUGAAGACCUCAUCUCUGCCUCCCAUCACCAGUUUUCUCUGCAAGCUCACAUCAUCUCUUCCUGCCUGUCAUGCUUUAUCUAUAAGCAGCUUUCAGCAGCUCCUUACUGCCCCCAGAAGCAAGCCCAGACCUUUCCCUGGCAUCUGGACUCUCCUGCAUUUGAUCCUGACUGACCUGCGAGGCUUGCCUCUCUCCAUAGCCCAACCCAGGCCUGACUGUGGAGCAGAUCCUGAAUGCUGUCACCCUGGCUCCUGGCUCGAGCUGUUUCCUCUGCCUGUUUCUCUCCAGCCUGGGGAAGUUGACCCAUCUACCAGGGCCUAGCACAAAGCCCAUUUCUUGAAAACUUCUUCCCAGCACUUAUCUCAUUCAUGUUCUCUCUCCUUUCCUUCCCUCCUUCCCUACCCUCUUCCUCCCUUCUUUCUCUCUGUCGCUCUCUCUCUGCUUCUCUCUCUCUCUGUUUCUCUCUCUCUGUCUCUCUCUGAGUGUGUAUUGAUCUCCCUCCUCAGCCACGUUCCUAUGGGACUCCCCUUUUACCUCUGAGAUAGCACUUAUUUCAGGCUGCUUUGGAGUAGAGUUCUUCAUGUUCAUACCACCUCCCAGGUUAGAAAUUGUGCUCCUGGAAUUGAAGAGCUACCCAUUCUUCAUUCAUGUGCAUAUUGAUCAUCUGCUGGCCACACCCAGGGUUUUGCACCUGGAAUAGGUUCCUAAUAAAUGUUUGGCACUUGGUACAGUGGCUCGAUGGACAGAGCGAGCCUUGGCUUUAGCAAUGGAUAGCACACCUCCUAAUGUGUGACCUUGGACAAGUGACUUACCCGCUCCAAACCUCUUAGGUCCAAAACCUAUAAAACGGGGGUUAAAAUAGUGCCUACCCCAUAGAGUGGUGAGGGAUAAAUGAGAUAAUGUGCAGAACAUGUAAUGUAACACUUACCACUCAUAAACUAGGCAUGAGUCACCAGCUUCAUCCUACAAACACUUUCGGAGAUUUACUUUUGCCCUGGAUCCUCUGGAGUGGGUACUGGGGAGAAAGUUACUAGAAUAUUCAUGUUGAAAGACAAAGAUGACCUCGAUGCAGUCUGGGCCUGGCUACAGAAAGGAUGGUUAAGUCUGAAUGGAUUCUAAAGAAAUCAAGGGCACAACGCUGGCAGCCCCAGGCCCUUAUAAAAGGCGGGGCCUCUCUCUUCCCAACUAAAGAAAUCAGACACUGCCUAGGAAACCAGCUCCUUUAAUCUCCUUACACUAAAGAUUAACACCUACCAGAGUCCCUCCCCAAAGCCAUCUUCAUACUUUUUAAUGUGAGCCUGAAUAACUGGAGGACAGGAAAGGCAAUCUGGAGCAUGGAGAAAGGGAAUUUUCAAAGGAACUUGGCCAUUGUGUCUCUGGCACUGAGGUUGAGGGGAACAGAGGCCAGGAGGGCAGGACUCUAGAAAGCCAGGGAGCCCCUCCUGUCAUUGAGACACACAUUGAAUCCUUUUCCUUGGAUUCCAGGAGCAGCAGUCCUGGACAGGGGCCAUGGAGGGUGAGGUAUAGUGGGGAGGGAAGGGUGGGUGGGAGCAGAGCAGUAUCCUCCCUCUCUCUGGCCACUGUGGUUCUCAGCGUACAUUCUUAAAUGGGUGUUUUGAUAUAUUUCAGCCUCUGAGAAUGUUGGCAGACCACCAGCUUUUCUCAGGGCCAAGCUCCCUUGAAUAAGUCGAUGUACUUCUGCAUACCAUCCCCACUGGCCUGUCCACCGUCUAGGUUCCUGUGAUGGGGUGGUGGUGUGGGAUUGGGGGAGGGGUGGGGGGAUUGAUGCCGGGGACGGAGCAGUUGCUGUGGACGAUUUGAGUCCUGUGUGGCAGCCUUUCCCUUGGAGACAAGAUCCUGGGCUAGGCUCUUGGCACGUGAAUGACUCUUGGAGACCAUCUAGUCCAAUCCACCCUUUUACAGAUGAGGAAACUGAGACGUAAAGAGCCCAAGCCAAGAUGAAAACCCAAAUCUCACCCCAGUCCAGGGUUUUUGUCCUGUUUCUCUAUGACAGUCCCGUAAAGAAAUUUUGCUGUGAUAUGAUGCAGGUGUCACAACAAGGCUGAAAAGGACAAAUCUGGAUUUGAUUAGAAAGUGUGAGUCCUACUUGCUCAAUCUCACAUUGAAGCCACAACUUACUCCUUGCCUGAGAGUAGCUUCUCGUCCUGUGGUGUGGGGAGGGGUGGGCAGAGGGAGGACUGGUGCAAACAGUGUUUAGAUUUCCUCUCUGAUAGACUCCUGGGGUGUGAGAGUUUUGACUUGAAGGAUCUGCUCUUUUGAGUGCUAGGCAGGUAGGCAGGCAUUCUCUUCCUCCUUCCCUAAAAGAUCUGUAGCCUCUUUAGGAUCAAAGGACGCUGGUGUGCAAUGAGAAUGCCACUGAGAGGUGGCACCCAGCACCCAUCCAGGAAAAGGAACAGACAGAGUGAAAAACUGAUGAUGGUAACUCACAUGAGUUAAAAAAAAAAAAAAAGCAGAAGUAAGUAAAGCUGGCAUGGGUAUGACCAAUGGAAAGGCUCAAAUAAUGGGGAUGUAGAAAGGAUUGAUGAAACUCUCAGGGGAAAUUCAUUCACUCAGUCAAGAGCUCUUUAACGGAACACUUACUCUGUACCAGGUUCAGUUGUCGGCACUGGAGAAAUCACACCAAGAAGGGUGCAGAGACCCAUUGCAAGUGACUUGGGAAGAGGAAAACUCAGUCAUGGGCAGACACCCAGUUAAAUGGAAAGCAGAGUUAAAGGAGGACAGCGGGAAGAAUGAGAUCUUGAAAAAUCCAUCAGCAAUUUCGGGACGAUAACAUGUGCACAGAUGAUAUUUUUUAAAAACCUGGGAGAAAGGAGUCAGUGGGAGACACAAUUUGAGAGCUACUGUGGCACUCUGGGGACCAAACUAAAGUGUUUGCACCACAUGCUGGGGUAAUUCAAUCACUCAGCAAGCACUGUUUGAGCACCUGUGUUUCUCUGGCCACACUAGUCUCCCUGCUGUUCCUUGUCCUCACCAGGCAUGCUUCCCUACUCUGCCUUUAAUCUGCAGGGGGAUUAUCAUAGCUCAUUGUAACCUUGAACUCCUGGGCUCAAGCGAUUCUCCCAUUUCAGCCUCCCCAAUAGAUGGGACUACAGGCCUGCACCACCAUGCCAGGCUAUUUUUUUUUCUAUUUUGGUAUAGGUGGGGUCUCACUAUGUUGCCCAGGAGGUCACUAUCUCCUGGGCUCAAGCCAUCCUCCCGCCUUGGCCUCCCAAAGUGCUAGUAUUACAAAUGUGAGCCACCACACCCAUCCAGAGUUCCCCUUUUUUUUGAGGGCUUCCCCCUACUCAGUAGCACCAUUGUCUUAGGUCAUUUUCUGUUGCUGUAACAUAUACCACAGAUUGGGUAAUUUAUAAAGAAAUUUAUUUCUUACAGUUCUGGAGGCUGUAAAGUCCACAUCUGGUGAGGGCCUUUUUGCUGGUGGGAACUCUCUGAAGAGUCCCCAGGUGGUGCAGAGCACCACAAGGUGAGGGGACUGAGUGUGUUAGCUCAGUUCUCUCAUCCUCAUCUUAUGAAGCUGCUAGUCCCAUUCCUGUAGCAACCCAUUAGUCCAUCAACCCAUGAAUCCAUGAAUGGAUUUAUCCAUUUAUGAGGGCAGAGCUCUCAUGACCCAAUCACCUCUUAAAGGCCCCAACUCUGAAUAUUGCUACAUUGGGGGUUGAACUUCAACAUAAGUUUUGGAGGGGACAAAUAUCCAAGCCCUAGCAACCAUUUAGCAAAUGCGUAAACAAGCUGCAAUUGUGGUGACAAGAGAAGGCACAUCACCCUGGAAAGGACCCUGUCUCAUUUUUCUUUGUUUUUAUUUUUUAUUUUUAUUAAGAUUAUUUUUUAGAGAUGUGGUCUCUCCAUGUUGCCCAGGCUGGCCUUGAACUCCUAGCCUCAAGUGAUCCUCCUGCCUUAGCCUCCCAAAGUGCUGGGAUUACAGGUGUGAGCCACCAAGUCCAGUUUAUCUCAUUCAUCAUUGUACCCCAGUGCUAGGCACAUAGUAAGCAUUGAGGAAAUGUUGAAUGAAUGAAUAUCAUUUUUAAGCACUGAGGAAACCUAUUUUUAAAAUAGUAAAUGUUAUUAUCACAACUUUGUAAAAAGUGCAUUUUAAAAUGUUUCUAAAAUCCACUAAUAAAUACCAACAGUAAGCCGGACAUGGUAGUGUGUCCGUAAUCCCAACUACUCAGGAAGCUGAGGCGAGGAGGAUCACUUCAGCUUAGGAGUUUAAGGCUGCAGUGAGCUGUGAUUGUGCCACUGCACCCCAGCCUGGCCAACAGAGCAAGACCCCGUCUUUAAAAAAAGUUGUAAAAAGAAAUACCAACAGCAGUUGAAUGGUGGAGUUCUGGGAAAUCUUUCGUUAUUUCCUUUUCUUUUCUCUUCCUUCCUUCCUUCCUUCCUUUCUCUUUCUUUCUUUCCUUUUUUUUUUUUUUUGACAGUGUCUUGCUGUCGCCCAGGCUGGAGUGCAGUAGUGCAAUCUUGGCUCGCUGCAACCUCUGCCUCCUGGGCUCAAGCACACCUCAACCUCCCUAGUAGCUGGGAUUCCAGGCGCAUGCCACCACGCCCAUCUAAUUUUUCUAUUUUUAGUAGAGAUGGGAUUUUGCCAUGUUGGCCAGGCUGGUCUUGAACUCCUGACCUCAAGUGAUCCACCUGCCUCGGCCUCCCAAAGUGCUGGGAUUACAGGCAUGAGCCACUGUACCUGGCCUUUUUCUUUCUUUUCUGUAUUUUUCCCAUUUUGUGUACUAUAGCAACAUUUUUAAUAAUGAAUAAAGUAUAUUUUAGUCCCAUCCACACCUUCCUUCCUCCCAAAAAAGGAAUUGUGAGAAUUACAAUUUACAACCUAAUAUUUUAAAAGUCUUGUGCCAUGUAAAGUGUAAAUGACGAAGACUGAGAAACCAUGACCUGAACUUUAUAAUGCAAUGAAAUAAAGUUUACCACACUCUGACGUGUCUGACAAUAUGCAUGAGGAUUGUGUAGCUGGGCAUGACCAACAAUUCUCAUAAAACACUGUGAUUGGUAUUACUUGAAACAGCCAAACUGGCCUCUGUCAGAUGCUUGGGGAAGGGAGGCGGGAACUGGAUGGGGUGUGUGUGGCUCUGUUGGCCUCAGAAGACCCCUGGAUCCAUAACCCAGGUAUGCCACUUUGCUGGCAGAGAAGGCCAGGACCUGGGAGCUCCGAGGACCUCCGGCUGACAGAUUUGCAGCCUCCAAGUGGGGCUGGUGCUGCACAGGCUUCACAAAGGAGCUUUUUACCACAACAGGAACGGCACGAACACCCCAAACUCUGCUUUCCUUCCCUUCCCAGCCUUCUAGAUAUGGAGAGUUCAUAAGGAUACUGCCUGAAAUGUCAUCAAUAAAAAUGUGUUGGGCAGCAGAACGAUUGCCUUUGAGAGGGCUAGAGGAGAGAAUAUUCAUUCACACAACAAAUGUUUAUUGAGAAUCUACUAUAUGCCAAGCAUAAGGGAGGUCCUGUGCAUACAUGGUGUCAUUUCCUUGCAUCAGCCUGAUGAAGAUGCUAUUAGACCCCACUAUACAGAUAAUGAAACAGGCUGGGAAAUGUUAAGUUAGUGACACUGAGUCACACAUUUAAGUAAGUGGUGGUAGUGGGGAGGGAGGUGGAAAGGGAGGGAGGAGGGACUCAAACACAGCCCCAUCAGAGGUGGAGAGCCUCUCUUCCCACAUUGCGCAUUGCACAACAGCAGAGGUUUCCAGACUUCAUGCUUACAGCCUUUGUGACCAUCAGCAGCUACUCUGGGUCUCGGUCUCCUUGUUUAUAAAAAUA